UACGACGGGGGCUAGCGUUGCUCGGAAUCACUGGGCGUAAAGCGCACGUAGGCGGCUUGUUAAGUCAGGGGUGAAAUCCUGGAGCUCAACUCCAGAACUGCCUUUGAUACUGGCGAUCUCGAGUCCGGGAGAGGUGAGUGGAACUGCGAGUGUAGAGGUGAAAUUCGUAGAUAUUCGCAAGAACACCAGUGGCGAAGGCGGCUCACUGGCCCGGUACUGACGCUGAGGUGCGAAAGCGUGGGGAGCAAACAGG
RNAcentral lists this ribosomal RNA (253 nucleotides) under uncultured bacterium. Its description in RNAcentral is "partial 16S ribosomal RNA". It matches the Rfam family "Bacterial small subunit ribosomal RNA", at positions 524 to 776 of the family's 1533-position model. The record is from RNAcentral.